UGGCGCACGGGUGAGUAACACGUAGAUAAUCUACCUUCGAGCCUGGGAUAACUAAUCGAAAGGUUAGCUAAUACCGGAUGAAGUAAUUUGACGUGGGUUGAAUUAUGAAAGACUGCCUAUCCAUGGAAGCAGUUGUUUGGAGAUGAGUUUGCGGACCAUUAGUUAGUUGGUGGGGUAAGGGCCUGCCAAGGCUAUGAUGGUUAGCUGGUCUGAGAGGAUGAUCAGCCACACUGGAACUGAAACACGGUCCAGACUCCUACGGGAGGCAGCAGUGAGGAAUUUUGCGCAAUGGGGGCAACCCUGACGCAGCAACGCCGCGUGAGUGAAGAAGGCCUUUGGGUCGUAAAGCUCUGUCAAUCGGGAAGAAGUUAUGGGAGUCGAAUAGGCUUUCAUAUUGACGGUACCGGUGAAGGAAGCAUCGGCUAACUCCGUGCCAGCAGCCGCGGUAAUACGGGGGAUGCAAGCGUUAUUCGGAAUUAUUGGGCGUAAAGGGCGCGUAGGCGGUUUUGUCGGUCAGAUGUGAAAGCCCGGGGCUCAACCCUGGACGUGCAUUUGAAACAGCAAGACUUGAGUACGGGAGAGGAAAGCGGAAUUCCUGGUGUAGAGGUGAAAUUCGUAGAUAUCAGGAGGAACACCGAUGGCGAAGACAGCUUUCUGGACCGAUACUGACGCUGAGGCGCGAAGGCGUGGGUAGCGAACAGGAUUAGAUACCCUGGUAGUCCACGCAGUAAACGAUGUACACUCGGUGUAGCGGGUAUUAAAAUCUGCUGUGCCCAAGCUAACGCAUUAAGUGUACCGCCUGGGGAGUACGGUCGCAAGACUAAAACUCAAGGAAUUGACGGGGGCCCGCACAGCGGUGGAGCAUGUGGUUUAAUUCG
Molecule: ribosomal RNA, 878 nt
Filed under: uncultured bacterium
Lineage: Bacteria
Description: bacterial SSU rRNA
Rfam family: Bacterial small subunit ribosomal RNA
Source: RNAcentral